UGAGUAAGUCGGAAUACAAUAGAGCUUCUAACUCUAUUUAGAGAGGUUCGACUCCUUUCUUUCUCAA
RNAcentral lists this transfer RNA (67 nucleotides) under Halosydna sp. YZ-2018. RNAcentral describes it as "tRNA-Ser". It matches the Rfam family "tRNA". From Rfam's summary of the family: Transfer RNA (tRNA) molecules are approximately 80 nucleotides in length. Their secondary structure includes four short double-helical elements and three loops (D, anti-codon, and T loops). Lineage: Eukaryota; Metazoa; Annelida; Polychaeta; Phyllodocida; Polynoidae. The record is from RNAcentral.